Potamilus streckersoni is the source of this 73-nucleotide non-coding RNA. Lineage: Eukaryota; Metazoa; Mollusca; Bivalvia; Unionida; Unionidae. The record is from the annotation of a GenBank genome assembly.
GCUCCAGUGGCCUAGUGGUUAAAACGUCGGCCUCUGAUGCGGGAGGUCGAGGGUUCAAACCCCGGCCGAGUCA